GAUGAAGAACGUAGCGAAAUGCGAUACUUGGUGUGAAUUGCAGAAUCCCGUGAACCAUCGAGUCUUUGAACGCAAGUUGCGCCCGAAGCCUCGGCUAAGGGCACGUCUGCCUGGGCGUCGCGCAUCGCGUCUCCCCCAAACCGCCAAGGCGGAGGGGAAGGAAGAUGGCUUCCCGUGCCUCACCCGGGCGCGGUUGGCCUAAAUUUGGAGCCCGCGGCACUUAGCUCUCGCGGCGAUAGGUGGUGAACAAGGCCUUGGCCGUGCAAACAACCCGCUGCGAAGCUCUAUGUCGUGCGCUCGUCGGACUCUUUGAAGUUGCCUUCGGUGACUUAAAACCUUUGCGACCCCAGGUCAGGCGGGGCUACCCGCUGAAUUUAAGCAUAUCAAUAAGCGGAGGA
RNAcentral lists this unclassified non-coding RNA (398 nucleotides) under soil metagenome. RNAcentral describes it as "partial contains 5.8S ribosomal RNA, internal transcribed spacer 2, and large subunit ribosomal RNA". The stretch from base 1 to 120 matches the Rfam family "5.8S ribosomal RNA", at positions 35 to 154 of the family's 154-position model. The record is from RNAcentral.